AUGAUAGAUGAGGAGAAGUUUUUAGUGAGAACAUUCAACUCAAUCAAAAUACCAACAAGAAAAAUUAUGGACAUUCUAUCAUUUUUACGACAAGGUCCGCUUCCAUACACAAAACAACAUGUGACCAAUGUGAGGGAAUCGAUGAGAAGAGAGAAUGAUAGCAAUGACAUGAUGCAGUUGCUGGACUACUUUAGGGGCAGGCAAGCGGAAGAUUCGAGAUACUUCUACAAGUUUAAGGUUCAUCCGAAAGACCCAAGCAAAGUCCUCUGCAUUUACUGGGCUGAUGGAUACUCAAGGAAAGUGUACAAUCUGUAUGGAGACAGCCUAAGUUUCGACACAACCUACAAAACCAACAAAUACAACCUACCCUUUGCCCCUUUCGUUGGUGUGUCCGGACAUGGUCAAAACUGCUUGUUUGCAUGUGCUAUCAUUCAAGAUUAA
This 441-nucleotide ribosomal RNA is filed under the name Triticum aestivum (bread wheat). RNAcentral describes it as "partial small subunit ribosomal RNA". Lineage: Eukaryota; Viridiplantae; Streptophyta; Magnoliopsida; Poales; Poaceae. The record is from RNAcentral.